Non-coding RNA from Cinara cedri, 318 nucleotides. The record is from the annotation of a GenBank genome assembly. NCBI's taxonomy places the organism in Eukaryota, Metazoa, Arthropoda, Insecta, Hemiptera, Aphididae.
CACGAUACAAGCAUUCCAGUCCAUUACCCACCGUAUGAUAACGUCUGCUCCUUGGUUUGUUUCCAACUUUUCACUACACUCUGACCUAAAAAUUGAAUCAGUUGACCAAUUAGCCACCAAACAUUACAGAUCUUUCUACUCAAAACUACCUUCCCAUACUAACCCGUUAGUUUCUCAAAUCUCAUCUACUCAACCCAUUAAUUCCAUCCAUAGGCUCAAAAGAAAAUAUUGCAGAGAUUUGUUAACCUAAAAUAAAUUCUCGUUGGGUUCCAUCACUGGUUGGCUUCCCUCUUCAAAUUAUUCAAGUUGAACAUGUAC